Homalodisca vitripennis (glassy-winged sharpshooter) is the source of this 17249-nucleotide long non-coding RNA. RefSeq lists it as uncharacterized. The record is from RefSeq and is a predicted model, not a curated record. NCBI's taxonomy places the organism in Eukaryota, Metazoa, Arthropoda, Insecta, Hemiptera, Cicadellidae. The transcript is spliced from 2 exons.
UCCAUAUAUAAAAGGUUACAUUUUAUGUAAAUCCUUUAAUUUUUAGUUUUAAUUUAAAAAUUCAACACAUUUAUGUUUGUUGGAUUUUAGGUGUAUUUAAUUUUUUUUAUUUAGAAAUAUUGUCAUUUCCAAGAUUAAUUAUUAUUAGCAGUCAUAUUUAUUUUGAAUUGAUCAUUAUUUAAUUGAAAUUUAAUAUCUAAUAUUAUUUAUUAAUAAAAAUACAAAUUAAUGAAUUGUUCACAUUAGCAGUUGGCUUGGUACAUAACUUUAUUCUUGUGUAUCUAUGAAGCAUGAGGUUUGGAAGCAAUUUAAAUUUUUAAAUCAUGUAUAAUAAUUUUAAGAUUCCAUUUUUGUAAUGGGAUUGCAUGAAAGUUAGCUCAGUAUUUCUUUGCAUGCUUGUUUUAACAUGGUAGCCACAGGUAAGUGAGUGUGUGAGGAUGCGAGGCAGUGCAGUCAUUGUCACAACAGAAGACAUCGAUGUGUGCUGUGAACAGUUCCCAGUCAACGAUUGAACCUUCAGUGUCAAUGAGACUUCACCAUAUAACAGUAAUUGAAGAAGUUUAUUUUAGGCUAAUGCGCUAACCCUAUAAUUAGACGUACUUGAUGGUAAGAAACAACAAAUAUCCCAUAUAAAGAUCAGGUAAAUAAUGGGUACUAUAUUACAUACCCAGUAGCAAAAAUAUAUUGUUUGUAUGUUACGAAUAGUGGGUAAGGAUACAAGACUAGAGAUAAAUUAAUGAAAAAAUUCAUUAAAAUAACUGAUAAAAACCUUUUUAAUGAGCUAUAGUAUACAUUUUCAUAAUGUGAGUACUUCUAAGCUCUUAUAAUGUUAGUGAGACAAAUUAUCAAUUUAAUUUUGUACCAUGAGCUUAGAUGAUGGAGAAAAGUGUUUUCUCUCAAUUAAUUUCAUGUAUAAAAGUUAUUUCCUAGAUAUUGAAUAAUAAAUAAUAAAUUUCAACACGGAAAGAUUCGUCUCAAGUUUAGUGCAUAAAAUGACAAACAAAAAUGAUAUUUCAUUAAUUCUAAUAUUGUGUAAACUUCUAAGGUAAACUAUCACUUUAUUAUUAUAAGUAGCGGUUCACUUUCAGUUCCAAGCAGUUACACCAAGAUAGCUAAUUCUUUUUAGCUAUGUGUAAAAUUGGAAAUUUGUUCUUCUUUUUUAUGUAUACAAUUGCAUUUUAAAAUUCUUUUAACACUGUACCCAUAAUUGCUAUAACAUAGUCGACUAAACAUAAAUAUUAGCAAUAAUCCUUACUCAUUUAGGAUGUAUAAUAGCCUUCCAAAGAUAUUAAUAAUACAAAGUAUUUAUAUUAAUUAAUGAUCAUUAUUAAAAAAUCAAAUGUAUUAUCUAGUAUAUCUAGGGAGUACUACCUCACACCACAAAUAUUCAUCCAGUGGAUGGAUAGGCAAAUAUCUUUGCAGCUUGUCUUUCAUUUGAGCUCUGUCAGGGUAAAAUUGAAAUAAUGGCAUUCAGUAUGUCUUGGUGUAACAUCGUUUUUGUGAGAAGUGUACCGUGAAAUACUGCUGACAGUUGUAACAGUGAUGUCGAAAAUACAGUCCUACUGUUUUAGUGAAAUCAACCAUUUGAUAGCAGAUUUAGAGGGGGGGGGGGGGGCAGAGACAUUCAGGUGAUAUUUUAGACUAAGUAAGAAUGAUUCAAAGAGGUUUUGAAAUUUAUAGAAAAUAAUAUAAAGAUGGAAGACGAAUUACAGGAAAUCAAUCACAAGCAGAGGAUGGGUAGCUUUAUGCUUGAGGUAGGCUUUUUUAAACUAUAAAAACCAGCAAAAUCCUAAAGUAAUGUUAUAGUUAAUAUCGGCAAAAGCAUAAUUUUAUUCAUUUAUCAAAACUCAAAAUUUGUAUUUUGCUUUCUGCAAUUAAAAAAUUAUAUGUAAUUUUAUUUAUUGCAUCUUUUUCACCGUGUACUAAAAUUACACAUUGAAAAUAGUGUUUCAAAACGUUGUUACCAAUAACAAGAAGGCUACUUAUAUGCCAAGAAAAGAGAUGACAAUCCGAGGAUCUUUAAAAUACAGAAUUAAUUAGUAACACUUUCAUAGGUUCAAAUCAGAGACCAGUAAACAUACCAUGCGGCGAGAAACAGCUAGAUGGUGUCCGUUGAAGUGAUACUGUGCGCAUGCGCAGAUGAAAACGUCCACGUGGACGCUCGGUGAGAAAUUCCAAAACAUCCUUAUCUCGUUAUGAUGUUUUCUAUAUAUAUAUAUAUAUAUAUAUAUAUAUAUAUAUAUAUAUAUAUAUAUAUAUAUAUAUAUAUAUAUAUAGUAUAAGAUUACAAAAUGAUAAAUAUCUGGUUUUGAUUGAGGAAGUUCAUUUUUGUAUCGUCGGUAAUACGGCCGGCUCUAAUCCCCUGCACUUCUGUGCGUGUGUGUGAGUGUAAACCUACCUAGGCCUAGCUGCAAUCCCAAAUUGAUAAUACUGUAGUGGUUGACCCGCUCGUAUGUGUCCAAGUUUAGUAAUUGCUUUACUUGCGAGCCAAGUGCACUUUCUAUUAGUGCGAUAUGUUCGCUGGAGUUGCAGUAUAACGAUGUUCAUCUAAAUUAUUUCAACUAAGAUAAAUGCCAACAAACCAGAAGCAGCUGUCGUUUUCGAUUUAUUGCAUAUAUCUGAGUAGGUAACUUCCGUCCUGUCCGUGGGCCGUUAGACAGGAAUUAGCCGGCCCAGCAACACGUGCUCGAUUUUAUUACGUUAAUUUCGUAUUGGUUUGUAAAGAGAAACUAAACUAUUGAAUACUACCAUCUGACCAUUUCGAGCCGUAACACGAAAGAAAGGUACUAAGUAGUACAAGCGGAACUCUUUAACAAUAAAGUUAUAGUGGGACAAGAUGUGUCACACUGUCGACAAGUAGGCCGUAUAAGUUUAUUGCUGUUCAGAUGGAUCCAUUUUGCCUUUUACACUGUUUCUAUUUAAACUAUCUAUAUUGGAGUCGUACAUAUUUAUCAAAGCAGCAGAUUGCCAGGGAACUGGUUUUAACAAUUCCUUCGUUUCCAAUAUUAUAUAUGCCCUCCUAAGUUCCUACAAGGUACGUAAUCACGAAUUGUCGUCGGUGCAGGCUGGUUAGGUUGAGGCAGUGAAGGGUAAUUUCAUACUGUUAGAAGCUGUUAUAAAUAUUCGGGUUAUAUUAUAUCUCUGGUUAACAAUCAUACGUCUUAUGCAGCUGAUGAGUAAAACAUGUUGUACGAUCAACUUUAAAUUGAUUUUCUUUAACUUUAUCUUGCUUUUUAUGCAUUAAAGUUCUAAUUCGAAAUAAAAAACACUUUCUACUUAAAAAAAUGUUUCCUGUAAUUAUACAACAGCAUGCUAUAGGAAGUUUUAUGACGUGCUAGAAGUUUGCACCAAUAGCAAAAAAGCAAGUUAUUGCAGUUUUUGCAAGUGUGAGAGCUAGGAUAUAAGCACAACAUAAAGAUGACUUUGUGUAACAUACAAGAUAAUGUAAUCUUAAUCCUAUUUUUUGCUACAGCGGGGAGAAUGUUAUCAUUCGAUCUGCUCAGAGCUCAUGCCUAUGAUACCGGAACUUGUAGGCUCUUUCCAUUCAUUGAAGCUUGUUGCGCGCGUUCAUUCCUCUGUCGCUUGUUACGCAAUGCGCUCAGUUGACGCAAUACUACAUUCCAUUGCGGCACAUCGUUUUGUAAUGGAAUCAGUGCUUUUUUUACCAAUCCGCCGUAUGCAACGUACGAUUUAGCCUUGGUUACAUACAUUUAGUUGAGCGAAUACUUGUAAAUCUUUCCUCGUAAUCCGCGAAAAAAGUAGGCAUAACUCACUCUGUGGGUAGCCAAAUAAUCUUAACCCUCCGACUGCCCUUAUUUUUUUCUUUAAACGCCAAGCCUUUUUCCCCAGUGUUGUAAGCUUUCUUUCUAAAAUCUUGUGCCUGGAAAUAUUGUCAAGUAUAUCAAUUUCAAAUUUCAAGAUAGCCUAAAGGUCAUAAAAAAUUUAGUCUAGUUUCAGAAAAUAUACAGAUUUUUACUAGCCUUUGGUUAAAUAAAUUAAGUUUAGCGCAAAAACUGAAAGUAGUACAAGAAGUUAUACAUUGUUGUGAACUUGUAAACCUAAAUAUGUUGGUACAAUUUUAUUUACAAUAAACUUUCACUCUAAUAAUGAAUAUUGUGAGAGAACUCAAGGUUUUUACGUUUAAAAAAGAGAUAAUGACCUGAUAAAAACAGUAAUUCUAAUAAUGCUUUGCGGUUUUGUAAAGUUUUAUAAUAACCUAAAGGUCAUAAAUUUAGUAUAUUUUUAGUUUAGUAUGGAAACGUCCUUCUAAAAUUACUCCGCUGUUAUAGAACUAUAAAAAUACCAGUGCUGUGUUCGGCAACUUUUUACCAUUUCCAAUGGUAUAUGAAUCACGUCGAUACUUGAUUGCUUACGUAUUAUAAAAAAUUAGAUUACGCGGACGGGCGAGCCCGCGGGCCAAAUCAACGGAUAUCCGUUGAUUGGUAGUCGGAGGGUUAAAAGAACAUGAUCAUACUACAAUUUUCAACUGUAACGAAGUCAAUAAACUACCAAUAUUAUUUUUUAUUGAGUGAAUUAGUCGUUUUGUAAGGAGAACUGUUCGGUUGUUGGCUUACAAUUUAUUCACUUGUUGAAGAGCUAUUCACAAAUUGUUAACGAGUUAUUGUUCGUACAAUUGGAACUUCUCGCAUUUAUCUUUAAAAGUUCGUCAUAAACCUCAGUGAAGGAGAGACAAAACAAAUUACAUUUAUUUUAUUACAGAGUGAAUCUGACAUUGGAUAUAAUAGGAAUAGUAUCGGUGGGCCGAUUCGGUGGUGACUUGUUGAUACAUUACUAACAGAUUUCCCUAACCCACACAUCACAAGACUUUGAAUUUAUUACGUGUUCUACAUUAUUGAUUAUGCCAAAUACCUUUACAGUGACAUCCUAAAAAAUUAAAAUCGAAGUUGGAAAUGUUAAAUGGGCACUUCUAUAAUUUAACAGCCGAUUGUAGUAAAAUUACUUUAGUUUCUGCUCCGUAAGAACAACGUUAAACCUCGCGCAGUCUUAUGCCCUUACUUUUAGUCUUAGAACUAUGGGAGAUGUCGAAUUCUAAAGACAUAAUUCGUAUUGAUAUUUUAAUGUUUUAUUUAGAAAAAAAUAGUUUUUGUACUUUGUUAAAAUAUUCAACAAGUUAAAUCUUGACAAUAACACUUAAAAGAGCGUUUGGAGGCGUAUUAAUAGUUCUACAAUUAAAAAUAAGGGCGUAAAAUUUAACGUAGUUAUCAUGGAGAAAACUCAAGGUCAUUUUACUGCCGCCAUUUCAUAAAUAGUCGAUUUUGAAUACACUUUUAAGUAGAUGGCCAUAAUGAUUAAUGUUCCUAAACUUUACAUAAUUUAGAAACUUGAACAUAAUUUUGUUGCUGAAAAAUGUGUUGAAUUAUUUGUUAGAGUAAAUAAUGUUUAGAAAUGUUACAAUGUAUUAGGAAACUACCAUAUACGAGAGCAACUAUCGAUCUUUUAAAUUUACCAAAUUAUAAAUAUGUUCUAAUUUAUAUGAAUUUAUGCGAAUGCUUUUCCAAUAUUUCCUAUAAAUCAUUAAAACAGCUUUCUUCGAACGACGUGCAUGGCUGAUACUCAACAUUUAAAGUUUGUUAUUUUGUGAUGCCAAGUCACCGAAUCUGUUGGUGUAACCAACUACACGUAGUGAGUGACUGGCCAGUGAAAGCGAGCGUCACUUGGUCUGGCGCCAGGACACUUGGUAACUAGACUUAUUUAGCAAGAGACAAUUCACUUUAGAAGCUGGGCUCUUUACAUUCACUGGCUCCGUAAAUUCACACAUUCUGGUCGUUGAUAAGUAACGUACUACUGAGGAUAACUUGAAAUUAAUAAGAAUAGUUUCUUUAAAGGUUAAAACAUUGAAUUGCCAACUGUAUGAAUAUAAAAACUCCAUAUACCACCAGAAAACUGUACAUGAAGCAAAUUAUAUUUUACCUCGGAGGAAAUAAAUAAAUAAAAUUCAAACCAAACAAACUUAGUAUAAGAGUACAAUUUGUUUCAUUUCUUUCUGAAACCCCGGGAAUAUGUAAACGAGCUAGUAUCAACCAAAAGUGAGGGGUUAUUGAAAGGGAAAAAGAUUAUAUAUAUAUAUAUAUAUAUAUUACUAAUUUUAAAAUAUUUACUUUCAGUUCCUCCGUAAUAAAAUACAAAUACAGUUUGGCAUAAUAGUAUAUUGAGUGUGUCGCUGAGUCUAAAAAUUAGACUAUUUACGUUGCUCUCGGAUCAGAAUAUGAAGCAAUAUGUUUCCAGCCUCAAACUCGAUAUAUUCACAGUGAGGAUGAAGAUGUAAUAGUAAAUAGAAAUUAAAACCAGGCUCCAUUAAGCUCAUUUAUUAGAGAUAACACUAAUAGAUUGCGAUUAUAGAACACUACCUGAACCUGGAGUUAUAUAUCUCUCUUUAGGUUGGCGCCUCUGUGCUAUUUUCUAGCUAAAGCUUGACGAUCAUCUUACUGAAAUCACAUAGCCAUUAGCAGAAUAGUAGAUCAAAGAUGUGUUGCUUUUGAAGUCUUUAACUUUGAGUUUGUUAUGUCACUGUCAUUGGGUUAAUUGGAAAUGAGGAAAUUACGAUUUAUGCUAUUGAAGACUUGAGCGUUUUCGUACUACAAUGGGAUUUCUUCUGAUAAUUCGCGAGACUAGAAUCUGAAACUUGAAGGUUGCUUCGUCUAUAAAUACACUUCUGACGUCAGUGCUUUCUUGCACGUAGGCGACAAUCGAUGCAGAAUCCAGUGCUUCUGUUCUAACUGAUGCGUAUUAAAUAAAAGAGCCAAUUCCUUGAAUUAUUCGUUUUCCUCGCCUUUGUUAGAUAUACAAGAAAAUCAAUUGGAGGAUGCCGUAAAGUAAUGGGUAUUUCAUAGUUCGAAUUAAUAGUAUAGAGAUAGGUCUAUACUGUUGCUUGCCCGCUAACGUGAAAUCUGUAUAGACUAGUAGGGGUUUCAUGUUCGUUUCAAAGAUAUCCCCGAAUUAUGAUACAAUUGAUAUUGACAAUGGUAACCGUCCAGAUCUAAGACUACAUAAGAUGUUUAAGUUGAACUUGGUUAUCGUUCGAAAUAUGAUUUUUCACGAAAAUGUGUUCUGUACGAGAAAUUAUCAUGCCCGGCGCAAGCACUGUGUGUUUUUUUUUUUGGUUGGACUGUUUUCCAUAACAAAACUCCUAUUCCCACAUCCAUUUAUGUUCUAUUGUUUACACUCGUCCUCAAUUAAGAACUUCAUUUAGAAGACCAUGUAUCGCUCUGACUUAGUAUUUUGAUUUUGUAAUUUUGAAAUGAAUAGAAAAUAGUUGUGGCUUUCCUUGAAAAACUAAAUUUAAAAUAAAAGUGUUUGUAUAUUUUCAAAUUUUGAUCAAUGCUUCUCCUCAGAGCACACAACUAGAUAGAUGUUCUCCUUGUAUGAAGAGAUAUUUAUGCACCUAUAGACUACCUAAAACGUGCUUUUUAUAACUGACUUUGUACGUAAAGAAACAAAAGCAAAAAACAGAAUAGUAUUUCUUUUAUCGACAAUGAAGGUAAAAUCUUUCACAAUUUUGUUAUCUCUGAAAAGUAUUUUUAUAACUUCUUUGUCAUAUAUUUAUUUAUGUAUACAAAUUUAUAAAAUGAGUCGUCUAUUUCAUUUUCUUUAUACACUUAUAACAAAGUUACGUGGUUUAUAGUUGACUAGUGUUCUCAUAGCUGCCCCUCAAAACGUUUACAUGGACAGUUAAUAGUUAUGUACUGUAUUUGUUAACUGUGAUAACUAAAGCUCCCUAACACGUUACGUCAUGUUCAGAAAAAUACAAAGUGGAAUAUGCUGUUAAGCUCGUCUAUCUAAAGUUAUUGGGCACCCCAGAUGCUGUUAGUAACUUAGCGCCGGAAAUCGAGGUGACAUCGCAGCGCCGCCCUUAUUGGUAGGGGACGAGCACGGACACGUGCUUCGAGGUCCCUUUUGUGUCUGUCGGCCUUUGUCGUGGCAAUUUCACCGGCCUACCUGCUUGUAUUGUACUAUUGGGUCAGGUGAAAAGAUGUAACAGGACUUGAAACAUGUAUUGUGUUCCUCCUCUAUUCUUGCCUUCCUAGGAAAAAGUCCAGUUGUAUUUUGUGGAUUUAAUAUUCAACAAGAGAAAGAAAGCUGAUCAUUCGUUUCAUAUAACUGUUUUUACUAUUUCUGAUAAAUUUUCAAAAAAUAAAAUUUUUGACAAAAAGUGAAAGGCCUCAUGCAAACAAAGAUGAGAAAUUGUGCUCGUGGACAAAGUUAACAUCUUCCAUCUUAAAUAGCUCAAUCAGUAACGGGUUUUGUAAGAAGUAAGGCCACCACAAGAACUGUUGUCACGUUCUUAAGCGAGUUCGUUCCAUAAGUUGUAUGGGUUAGAAUCCACGAUCUCGGAAAAUAAUGUCGCACGUCGUUACGUACGUACGUCUGUUGUAAAGAGCACGCUAAACACUAAACGUAAUAUUUUUGUCUCGAAAAUAUUCUUAUAGUAACCGGAAAUCAUGUUUGAAAUCAUUUUUAAAAAAUUUACGAUUCGCAAAAACCAAAUUUACUUUCUUAACAAGUUGAACUAACUUGAAUUUGCGAUUAUGCAGUAGGAUUUAGAUAGUGGACAACAAAAACCACUGCCACGAGAAAAAAAUGUUACAUUCUUUAUACAGUCGGUAAACAUGUUACAUGACAGAUUUCAGUUGCAUCGUAAAUAAAAAUGCAAGUCUUGGGCUUACUACGUUAUCAAGGUAGCUGUAGUCGGCAGACACGAUAAUUUUGUUAUAUUGUCCGGGUGAUGAUAUUUCGGUUAAGGAAGUGCAACGAACUUGAAAUGUUAUCCUAAGUGUACUUUUGAACCCGCUGAAAAAUACAAAAUGGAAUCAUAAUAGGCGUCGUAAUAGGAAUCUAUAAUAAAAAGUAAAUUAAGUUUAUGGCUAUAUAUGCCACGUAAUGAUAUUCCUUAGAUUCUAUCUGUUAAACUAAUCUUAAUAUUUUAUCCUUUAUUAUAAAUUUAUGUUCUAUCGCUUACUCUAUAGAAUUUUAAAUUUUGGCAAAUCAAAACGAGUUAUCAAUGUCGCUAUAUCGAGCUGGUAAGCGAGGUGUAUCCAUUUUGUAUUUAAUUUUCUUGGUUUCGUUUAAAACUCCAUGUCAACAUUGUUUGGUAAAUUUGUACUAUGGAAUUUAAACUGCACAAGAAAAGCAAAGCACUCUUUAUUAGUUUUAAUUUAUUCAUACAUAUUUGUAUUACGUGCAUUAAUUUGCCAACUUUUAAAUUCUGCAUGUAGUAGAUAUAAAUAUGUAUUAAACUUAAAACUAUAAUUAAUAUGAUUAUUGUUACACAUAACAAAUUGUUGUGUUUGUAAUGAUUGAAUCUCGUUGUUCAUCAAUAAAGAUUUGGUUGUUUAUAUACUGUUGUUUGUGUUUUCCUUAUCAAUGUAUUUUUAGUGUUGCGUUAUUUGGUUAGAAUAUUUACUAGUGGCCACAUUGUACAGUGUUUAUGCCACUUUGUAGGAACAUUGCUUAUAAAAUGAAGGACAAAAAUGACUGGCUAUUUUGUAUCUCAAAAUAUUAACAAAAAGUUAACAAACUACAAUUUUGGUAAUUUGUUUUGGCAAGUUACAGGCAUUUAAUGCAAGCCACAAAUUAAAAUUAUUCUAUCCGUCGUUUAAAAAUUGUGUACGUCUGAUAAAAAGAAUAUAUUCUUUAUCUAUAGUAUUUGUCUUUAAAAUGCGUCAAAUUUGUUUAUACAAUACACGAAGGUGUUGGUAUCGCGCUUAACUAAAGCCCAAAUUUCGAACAUACAUUCGUGGAUUUUGUGCGGUAUUUGUUGUAUUAUUUCAUAAAUGGACGUUUCUUCUCUUGAGCCAGUAUCUUGCUGAAGUAAUUAUGUGGUUGACUUGUUUUAAACCUUUUUGACGCCAACGUCCGAUUGAUCGGGCCGCCGAGGUCCGGGCUAAAACUGCUUAUCGAUUGAGCGGGUGAUACUUCAAACUGCAUUUAUAAACUUUUAAAAUGUGUUUCGGUUAGUUUGAUUUUGUUUUGAUGUAAGUAAUGACUACCUUUAUAAAUUUUAUAGUUGGUAUGACUGAUCUUGGCACUGCUGUGGUUUUACUCUCAUUUUAUACUUCACGUUUAUUAUAAUUUCUUGUCAAUCGAGUCUUCGAUAAACAAUGUUCUGCAAUUUCGUGUAAUGAACCAAUAUUUUUCAUUCAUUUUAAUUUUGUCAAUUUCUUUUUCGUAGUCGAUACCAAAUAAGUAUAUGCAAUUUUAAUUUACGUUUGAUGGAGUGUGGCCAAUAUAAAAAGAUACAAAACAAAAAAGAAACAUGAAUACAAGAACAGUACAGAACGUAACAUUUAAAUUUUAUGUGUUCAAAAUAAGUCGAAGGCAAUUUUGGGUAGUACUCUCGGGCGCUGGCAUCUAAAAGGUUAAACUUCUAAUUAUAAAUAAUUCUGCAUUAUCAAAACUAUCUGAAAUUACAUCAGACGCAACAAUUAGUAGCAACAUGCAUUUGGUUGCCCGAAGUUUCAAACAUCGCAUCACGAACGCUCAAUUGUUUUUAUUUCUAAGAAAAGGUGACUAUCAGAACCUGUGUGUACAGUAAGCGGCUCAAAGUAAUGCGCGCAACCUUUACCAGUUAUGAUGACGUUGACCGGUAGUCGCCGCUUCUACAAACAUGCCUCCUGGUGCCUCGCUGUAUCAUAAUUAUAUUUUCCCCUGUUUUGGUUGCGCGGCACUGCUAUGUCGUGUAUUGUAACUAUGUGAUGUAAUUUUCUAAGUUUCACCUGCCCUUUCACAUUGCUUUUAUUUUGUUCUCUUAACGUGAUUAAAUAUUCCAUAAUUCAUUGUUCUCUCUUGUCGCAAACUGAUGCUUUGUCAACGUAAUCGAAUUCAAAUUCUGAACAUAUACUUGGUUUUGUAAACCUUGACUUUUAAUAUAAAUUCAAACAAACAGUACCUGUUUAACGCCUCAGGCGUGUAAACAUCGUUGUAAAGUUGACAAAAGCAGUGGCAUGUGUCUGAAAUGGUUAUAACCAACAUACUUCAACCGACCUUGAUCAUUUCUGAAUGUCAGCAAUUCUUUGUAAUCUAUUGAAGAAUUUUUAGAAAAAGCAUUUGUUACGAUGGUUAGUGUCUUUGAGAUGGCUAGUAAAGCGAAGGCUGCGUGCCACUUAGCGUGGUCGAUGUGUUUAGAACGGCUAGUACUGAGGCUGCCACUCGGUUCAACCAUCAACACCGCCCGCGAGUACUUAUCAUUAUGUAAAUAUAAAAUAUUUAUUUGCCAGUAUAGAUAAUAAUCGGUGUAAAAUUUCGAUAAUUUAUUCAUCAGAAAGAAUAUUUUGGUAUGUCAUUAUAUUUUAGCUUGUUCAAUAACCAAAACCCGCUAAAUUACGUAAUUAGUAGGUUUGUACUAAAAUUAAAUAAAUACCAUAGGAAUAACGUUUAUCAACACGCUAUAUGUAUCAUGCAAUUGAAGAUUAUAAAAUAAAAGAUUAUAAUUCUACGUAAAGUAGAGUUUAUGCCGCUCGAAAGUAGCUGAGCGCGUAUAGACCUGUCUCGACGUCCAACCCUUGUAAUCCUUCCGUCGUAAACAAAACUUUCACAUUGUCAGCCCAACAUUGUCCUCAGUUGGACAGAAGAAAUGCAUAUUACCAUUGAAAGAAACGUAAAUGUUAAUACAUUUAUUCUCACACUUAUAAAACCAUUCUGUCAUUGAAAUGUAAUGUACCUAAAUACUUCCAACAGAAAGAACGAUACAUACAACUAUAUGAAUUAAUUAAUUUGGUGUUCUUCAAUGUAUGGGGAGCGGCUUAGACAAAUUAAAUAUUAAUCAUUUUAAUUCACGAAUUUCGCAAGUUCGAUUAUGACCUUAUAUAAUUUGCUUGAGAAUUAUUCUAAUUAAUUCUAAACUAUCAGUUAUAUAUUUAACAGUUAUUUGGUAUGGCCCUCGGCAUUCUCCAGUCUUCAGAAGCUGGUGGUUAUGUAACAUUUCUGUUCUAAAUACUUCGUUUCUGUUAUGUUGGUAUAUAAUUUUAUCGCACAGUAGGAGAGUCUAUUACAAUGGUAUUUAUUAUAAAAUCGUUUCUCGUAAAUGAUAAUAUAAUUCAAAUGGUCACCUUUGGACUAGAGUGUGCAUAGAAAUGGUUAAUUGUUUAUAUUUGAGGGAUUAUAAGGUUCCACCGGUGGCCCAGUAAGGUCAUUAAUUGGACCAGUAUUAAUGGUUCGUUUUGUCAGUUUGUAUGUGGCACUGGAAAUAUAAUCAAAUAGUUAAUAAAUGUUGGACUGGUAAUAAUCAGGAAUCUAAUUUAAAAUGUCUUCUUAAUAAAAUGUAUUUCUAUCCAAUUAUCAAUUAUAGCAAUUUCGUCUCGGUACAAACGCGUUUCUGUAAUUUACACAUACACAUAUGGACAAAAAUACUGAGCAUAUUUGAUCUGUUGUACAUUACGGAUUUUUAAAAUGUGAUUUCCGCUAUUUUCUCGGAGAUAAUGUUUGUUUUAACCAACUUAAGUUAGUUAUUAUGCUACUUUUGCCGUUAAUAUAAUUUCAGUAAUGGAAUUCUGUGCUACCGAGAAUAGUAUAGUAAAGCAAACCGCUGAACGUAAACAAGAAAGCAUAUCUCAAAGAUCUUAGAUGCGCAUGCGCAUUAACAUGUAGACUGUGUAAAAUUUCUUCAUCGCGUCUUUAGUUCGCUGCCAAUAAUUUGCCAUGGGUUUUAAUUUUUAAAGUUUAUUAGGGACUCUCUUUACGCAGGCACUAACAAUCAGUUGACUGCAUUUGUUUAUUUAGUCUGACGCGAGCGUGCCUGUCUCUUUUCACGCAAGGGAGCAGAAACCUUACAUGACAUAAUUUAAUAGAUAAAUUGAGUAUUAUGUAACAUACAAAUUAAAUAGCUAGUGUCUUGAUAAUAAUUUAUCAUUUAUUUUUUUUAAGGUUAUGAAGUCAAAAAAGUUGAUAAUUUGUUGGAAUCCGUAUGACACGUAACAAUUGCUUGCAGCAAUGAAAAUUAAAUGUGGACAAAUGAAACUUCAUGUUGAAACGGAUGGGCAGUUGGUCAUUUUUGACACCUAUUCCAAGCGAGUGGCAGGAACUGUGUCACGCUCUACUUACAUGUCAAUGACCUCCGACUAACUUGCCGUCGGUAUUGGCACCGCUACCGAACGUUGGCCAAUCACUGAGGAGUUUGCCAAUUGUGAUAUAUCAGUAAAAUAUUUAUUUAUUUGUCAUAUCUCUUUAGAUAUUUAAUGCCUUCGACUAUUAGACGCUAGCAAUAACGAAUAUAACAGUAACGUUUUAUAAUAUUACGAAAAUUGUGUCGGAAAUGAUCACAUAACUGAACAUGUAGUUGUAUUAGUCUACACCGCCUGAGUUUGAUUUCUUUUAAUAUACCAACCUGUAGUCGAUUUUAAAAGCCUAAAACAGUAACAUAAUUUUUGUGGUAAAAAUGAAUCAUUUCUUAAAAAAUGUAAAAUUAAUUUUAUUACAAUUUACAGAAGCAGAAUAGAGUUGGUGUGGGAUGUAUGCACACUAAGCCCCGAGAGCAAUUAUUAAACUUUAAAAAUAGAAACUUCACAUUACCCUAAAUUACUAUCAAGUUUAGGGUAAACUUUUUAUCUUCCAAAGAGUAAGAUGGUGUCUGAAUUUAACUUGAAAGUUAACAUGUUUUUAGUGUAAGGGGUUGAUGAGGAAAAUACUUAAUUAAAACUAUGUUUACUGAUAAAAUUGAUUUCCUUGGUGCGCAUUCGAUGAGGUGACUUGUGCAAUCAGCUGUUUUAACGCGCGAGUGUUGGAGCUCAAAUAACAUAUCUCGUCAUCUCAAUUGAUGUUUUGUUUUUUUUUUUUUUUUUUUUUUUUUUCAAACAUUGAUGGCUAAAAUAAAGAUCCCAAAUUUUUAUAAUAGUUGCCCUGCAUGUAUUUAAUAAUAAACAAAACUGUUUGUUAAUAAAUAUUACUGCAGUGGGUGGGUUUUGGAUUUAAAUCCCGGCCAAUAACAAUUAGCCUACCGUAGUACCUUGAGUCGAGGCACGCGGGGCACGGUCAAGGCCAUGAGGAGGCGGAGGUGGACCUUGUCAAUUACUAUAGUGGUGGUAGGUCAGGGUCAGUCACAACAUCGGUAUUCUCUGCUCGUUUAACAGUUUACAUAUUAUAAUUGCUAUGAUUAAUAUGCUAUUAGUAGCAGUUUGAGUUUAAUUUCUUCACAGUAACUGAAUACUGCGUUAAAUGCAAAUUUUAAAUGAUUGUAGGAUUAUUGUGAGUGUGCGUUCUGUGUUAAUUUUUAACGUAACAUCAUUACUUCUGUAUGCAAGGAUGUAAUUAUCCCGUGUGCCGAGCAGGCGCAUGCGCGUCGUGUACUGUUUUGACCAUUCGAAAUGCCAUUAAACCGAGCUCGCUUUAUUGAAGAACAGUUUCUAUUAUCCCGCGACUCGCCUCUAGAUGGUAAGAGUGGGGGAGAGCACUUUCCCUAUCUGUUCUCCACGCCGACGUUCCAACAGAUUACGCACACCCAGACAACCGUGUUGCAUUAUCUCGCGAUUUACCAUUGUCACUUGUUUUUAUUUUAUUGUAGAUAUUUCAAAUUGGACAGAAUUCUUUUGAAAAGGUUGUAAGCUGUUUUGGAAGGGCCUUGACCGUGUUUAGAGUAGAUAACUGAAGAAAAAUUGAAGCUUACUAAAUAAAUCAUCAAUAUUGAUGAAGUCCCUUACAGGUCUUAGACGAGUGUUAUGCGCCGAUUGUAUUGAAUCAAUGUCGAGUUUUACUACAUGAACAGUUAAGCUUUUAUUUUUAGUUGUAGACUUUGUAGAAUUGUGGAAGUAGGCCUAUAUCUCUAUUUAUAGAUGAUUGAGAUUGCUUCAUAUGUUAAUACGCAUAAUAAAUGCAUUUAUUGGAAAAUGAACACUUAUAAAUGUUUAGGGUAUGAUGUAAAAACCAGUACCUACACCAUAUAUUUAUAUUUUUUUACUAAUAUAAAAGUCUUUUGGAUGCGCAUUAAUUAUAUCUUUAACACCGAUCAUAUCGGAUAAUCAUACCAGCAAUAUUAAGAGUGUAUGAGUGUUUCAGGUUUUCCAACAUCGUUUGUAGAAGAAAGUCAAAGUAGCCGCUAUUAUAAUUACCGAAUUGCGCUCUUUAUGAUGUAAAUAAUAACAAUAACGGAAGGGUGCGGGAAGAGCCAACUGGGAGUGCCGGUAUGCGUAUACUGAAGUUGUAGCGGUUUUCAGUGGCGUAACUAAAGCUGACUUGCGGGGGGGGGAGCUUAUGGAAUAAAUCAAUAUUUUUAGUAGAUAUGCCCAAUUCCAAAUAAAACAUUGGCUGUAUUUCGAAGUCUGUUCUGUUAAUUUUUGCAAUUUAUUAUAAACUAUAAAAAGUUACCCAAAUGAGUUCAUGAGAUAAAUGACAAAACUAAAGGGGUUUUUCUAUAUUGUUAGGUGUCAAAAGUGAGAGGAUGGAAUUGAGUGCCAAAAAAAUUCCCCUGUAGCAGGUUUUAACAACAGAAUCGUCAGUGUGGCCUUGGUUUACAUGAAUUGUGUGCAAGAUUAUAAAUUAAGAUUUCUCACCUUUCAUCCAUAUUCCAAGUAGGUUGUAUGUUACAGCCUGAGUAUAGAAUGGGACCUCUGUCUACCUAUUAUUUCAUGACAGUUUCUACCCAAUAAUUACAACCUGCUAUUCCAAAUUUUCAUAACAACAUUUUUCCGUAUGCAAAUUUACAUUGCAAUUUCUUUGCUGGUAUAUUUUGUUAAUAUAACAUUUUAAACAGGAUAAGUAGGAUAUUAGUAAUUUUUAAACUAAACUCUUUUUACUAGUUGACUUCAAUAGUUUGAAGCCGUUAACUGUUGCUAUUAAGACAGUAUACUAUUAUUGUUUUCUAACAUUUUGUCUUAAUGAGAAGAAUUAAUUUUAAAUUGUCUUUGUUAAACAGGGUGAUGGAGAUCCAAGCGAUCAAGGCGGUGUUGGUGGUAGGAGAUCUUGCGGUGCACUCUUUUCAUGGACCAGUAUUUCAUAUGUUAAAAUGUCUCACUGUAUCAUUUCAAACGUAAAGCUAAGAUACAAUUAAUCUAGGAACAAGGUGAUUGGGCAGGUUGGUUCUAUUAUUUUUGGACAAAUAUUAUAGUUUAGUUUAUGCAAUUUACUAGUGUUGUUUAAGUGCAUUAUGUUGGAAUACACGUACUGGUCCAAACAUUAUUAUUUUAUUGGUAGUAAAAUAUUUUGCUAUGAGUAUAAAGAGUUAUAAUAUGCAAUAUAAAUGUAUUUUUUCUAUCUCACUGUUAAUGAUCUGAAUCAAAUUCUCUUUUUUGAUAUAUCAUUUUCAUUAUAAUAAUACAUGUAUUUGAUUUUUUGAAUAUCCUUUUUGAAUAGUUACUUAAAAGAAAUAAAUACACAACAUUCUAGAAAUGACUGAGAUGUUAAUUGAAAAUAAAUCAUUACAAUUAGUAGAAACAAUAAAAAUGUGAACUAUAAUUUACUGUGUGGAGAUUAGAUUUUAGAAGAGGAUAUUAAUAGAAAAUGUGAAGUGUUGAUAUUAACAUAUGAAAUACUGGUACCACAAGGGGUAAGCUGAAAUAGAUUUUUCAUUACUACCAAUACCGUUUUUAAAAACACAACUAAACUUCAUAACAAAAUAUAAUAUGUAUGUGUUAAACAUUACUUAAAUUGCAAUACAUCAAGUGCCAGUUAUCUUUGUAUUAAAGGUGUAAGAAAUAACAAGGAUAGGAUUUGCAGUGUUCUAUGUUAUGCUGAGUUGCGAGAUGUUGACGAGACUGCUGCAGUGUCUGCUGAUGAGACUGCUGCAGUGUCUGCUGAUGAGAGCUGCUGUUUCUCUGUUGAGCUGCCUGGGCAGUCACCAGAAGGACGUCGAACACUAGUUUUAAGUAACACACCAAAGGUCAUUUCUUUCAUUCUUGUAACUUCUAUAUCUGGAUGUGUGAAGGAGACCAAUUUAAUUAAUUCUACGCUCAACUGAUAUAUUUUAUAUUCACUAUUUUUUUAAGCAUGUGUGUACAAUAACUAUCAUGCUAAGUAAAAGACAAGUUCCUCGCAAUUUGAUAUAAAUAUCCAGCACUUGACAAGUACUGUAUCAUAAAACGCUAAAAUUAAACUUCAAAAUAAAGAACUUGUAUUGCAAGUGUAGGUCAUGUUCGAAAAAUGGAGAGACAAAAGAAUACCUCAUCUAACUUUUAGAAAAAAGUACAUACACAUACAUGGUAGAAUAAAAUUCCAAGGCUCAAAUUUCUAUUAGUUCAUGAAACGAAUGCCUACAAAUGGCCUUGUGAACCAUAUUCUGUAAAGUUAAAAAUAUACAAGUUUACAUC